Molecule: long non-coding RNA, 578 nt
Organism: Nomascus leucogenys (northern white-cheeked gibbon)
Lineage: Eukaryota; Metazoa; Chordata; Mammalia; Primates; Hylobatidae
Exons: 4
Source: RefSeq, a predicted model, not a curated record
GUGUAGCUUAAGUGUAGGAUGUUUGUGAAGUCUAUAGUAAUAUAAAGCAGUAUCUUAGGCCUUCACUUUCACUCACAACUCACUUACUGACUCACCCAGAGCAACUUCCAGUCCUGCAAGCUCCAUUCAUGCAAUCACAGGAAUAUAUAAAACAUCAGCAGAAAGAGGCCUUUGGAGGAAUCCGGACCAGCAUUCUCAUCUGGAUGAGGGACUGCGGCCCAUGGAGGGUUCUCAUUUGUAUGAGCUGAUGCUAUUAUCAUCAUCCAAAAAAUUUACUAGACGGGUUUCCAUAGAUGAUUGGAAAAACCCAAGAGUUGGUCCUCUGUUCCAGACCCCACACAGACACAAACCUACGAGCCAAGGGAGCCAGUAUUUGGCCAUCCGUCCAUCCAUCUGCAUGUCCCAGGGAUGCACGAACAGGGAACACUUCAGCCUUUCAGCUGCCUUCAAAGAAGCAAUGAGAGAGAGAGAGAGAGAGGGUUACUUUGAUGAGUGAGCAAAUACCAGGUACUGUUUUGGGGAAAUUGCUUUUCUUUGAGUCUAUAUUGGUCUGCAUAAUUAAACUAAAAUGCUUUUGA